UACGGGGGGGGCAAGCGUUGUUCGGAAUUACUGGGCGUAAAGGGCUCGUAGGUGGCCAACUAAGUCAGACGUGAAAUCCCUCGGCUUAACCGGGGAACUGCGUCUGAUACUGGAUGGCUUGAGUUUGGGAGAGGGACGCGGAAUUCCAGGUGUAGCGGUGAAAUGCGUAGAUAUCUGGAGGAACACCGGUGGCGAAGGCGGAUCUCUGGGCCUUACCUGACGCUGAGGCGCGAAAGCUAGGGGAGCAAACAGG
This 253-nucleotide ribosomal RNA is filed under the name uncultured bacterium. RNAcentral's name for it is "partial 16S ribosomal RNA". It matches the Rfam family "Bacterial small subunit ribosomal RNA", at positions 524 to 776 of the family's 1533-position model. The record is from RNAcentral.